CUUGCUCCAGGGAUUAGUGGCGAACGGGUGAGUAACACGUGAGUAACCUGCCCUUGACUCUGGGAUAAGCGCUGGAAACGGCGUCUAAUACCGGAUACGAGCUUCAGCCGCAUGGCUAGGAGUUGGAAAGAAUUUCGGUCAAGGAUGGACUCGCGGCCUAUCAGCUAGUUGGUGAGGUAAUGGCUCACCAAGGCGACGACGGGUAGCCGGCCUGAGAGGGUGACCGGCCACACUGGGACUGAGACACGGCCCAGACUCCUACGGGAGGCAGCAGUGGGGAAUAUUGCACAAUGGGCGAAAGCCUGAUGCAGCAACGCCGCGUGAGGGACGACGGCCUUCGGGUUGUAAACCUCUUUUAGUAGGGAAGAAGCGAAAGUGACGGUACCUGCAGAAAAAGCACCGGCUAACUACGUGCCAGCAGCCGCGGUAAUACGUAGGGUGCAAGCGUUGUCCGGAAUUAUUGGGCGUAAAGAGCUCGUAGGCGGUUUGUCGCGUCUGCUGUGAAAUCUGGGGGCUCAACCCCCAGCCUGCAGUGGGUACGGGCAGACUAGAGUGCGGUAGGGGAGAUUGGAAUUCCUGGUGUAGCGGUGGAAUGCGCAGAUAUCAGGAGGAACACCGAUGGCGAAGGCAGAUCUCUGGGCCGCUACUGACGCUGAGGAGCGAAAGCGUGGGGAGCGAACAGGAUUAGAUACCCUGGUAG
Molecule: ribosomal RNA, 700 nt
Filed under: Frigoribacterium endophyticum
Lineage: Bacteria; Bacillati; Actinomycetota; Actinomycetes; Micrococcales; Microbacteriaceae
Description: bacterial SSU rRNA
Rfam family: Bacterial small subunit ribosomal RNA
Source: RNAcentral